This 664-nucleotide ribosomal RNA is filed under the name uncultured bacterium. Its description in RNAcentral is "bacterial SSU rRNA". It matches the Rfam family "Bacterial small subunit ribosomal RNA", at positions 8 to 692 of the family's 1533-position model. The record is from RNAcentral.
AGAGUUUGAUCCUGGCUCAGGAUGAACGCUGGCGGCGUGCUUAACACAUGCAAGUCGAACGAGAAAACUCCUUCGGGAGCGAGUACAGUGGCGAACGGGUGAGUAACACGUUGGUGACCUGCCCCGAGAUGAGGAAUAACUCUGGGAAACCAGAGCUAAUACCUCGGAUGUCUAGACUGUUAGAGGGUUUAGACUAAAGCUCCGGCGUCUCGGGAGGGGCCUGCGGGCUAUCAGCUAGUUGGUGGGGUAAUGGCCUACCAAGGCUAAGACGGCUAGGGGACGUGAGAGCGUGAUCCCCCACAAUGGAACUGAGACACGGUCCAUACUCCUACGGGAGGCAGCAGUGAGGAAUAUUGCGCAAUGGGGGCAACCCUGACGCAGCAACGCCGCGUGGAUGAUGACGGCCUUCGGGUUGUAAAAUCCUUUUCUGAGGGACGAUAAUGACGGUACCUCAGGAAUAAGUCCCGGCUAACUACGUGCCAGCAGCCGCGGUAAAACGUAGGGGGCAAGCGUUAUCCGGAUUUACUGGGCGUAAAGCGCGCGUAGGCGGCAUUGUAAGUUGGAUGUGAAAGCUCCCGGCUCAACUGGGAGAGGUCGUUCAAAACUGCGGUGCUCGAGGUUGGCAGAGGAGAGUGGAAUUCCCGGUGUAGUGGUGGAAUGCGUA